This is a non-coding RNA of Mycena haematopus, 92 nucleotides long. The record is from the annotation of a GenBank genome assembly. NCBI's taxonomy places the organism in Eukaryota, Fungi, Basidiomycota, Agaricomycetes, Agaricales, Mycenaceae.
GCGGGUGUUGUGUAACGGUACAGUGCUGUCCUAAGUACCCGCGUGGUUAAAGACGUUCACAGCACGACCGGGUUCGACUCCCGGCACUCGCG